CCCUUAGAUGUUCUGGGCUGCACGCGCGCUACACUGAAGCUAUCAACACGUUUUCCCUCCCUGAGAAGGGCGGGUAACCUUUUGAAUCAGCUUCGUGGUAGGGAUCGGGGCUUGCAAUUGUUCCCCGUGAACCAGGAAUUCCUAGUAGACGCGAGUCAUAAGCUCGCAUCGAUUAAGUCCCUGCCCUUUGUACACACCGCCCGUCGCUACUACCGAUUGAACGUUUUAGUGAGGCAUUUGGUCCGACGCAUCUCAGUUUAACCGCUGGUUUGUGUUGGAAAGACUUCCAAACUUGAGCGUUUAGAGGAAGUAAAAGUCGUAACA
RNAcentral lists this ribosomal RNA (324 nucleotides) under uncultured eukaryote. RNAcentral describes it as "partial 18S ribosomal RNA". It matches the Rfam family "Eukaryotic small subunit ribosomal RNA", at positions 1470 to 1796 of the family's 1831-position model. The record is from RNAcentral.